AGCAGCCGCGGUAAUUCCAGCUCCAAUAGCGUAUAUUAAAGUUGUUGCAGUUAAAAAGCUCGUAGUUGGAUUUCGGGGUCAGUAGUUUGGUCGUGCCAACGGUAUGUACUGGGCUCACUGAUUCCUCCUUCCUGAUGAACUGUAAUGCCAUUAAUUUGGUGUUGCAGGGAAACUGGACUGUUACUUUGAAAAAAUUAGAGUGUUUAAAGCAAGCUAACGCUUGAAUACAUUAGCAUGGAAUAAUGAAAUAGGACGUUCGAUCCUAUUUUGUUGGUUUCUAGGAUCGACGUAAUGAUUAAUAGGGAUAGUUGGGGGCAUUAGUAUUCAAUUGUCAGAGGUGAAAUUCUUGGAUUUAUUGAAGACUAACUACUGCGAAAGCAUUUGCCAAGGAUGUUUUCAUUAAUCAAGAACGAAAGUUAGGGGAUCGAAGACGAUCAGAUACCGUCGUAGUCUUAACCAUAAACUAUGCCGACUAGGGAUCGGAUGAUGUAAUUUUUAAUGACUCAUUCGGCGCCUUAAC
RNAcentral lists this ribosomal RNA (520 nucleotides) under uncultured Glomus. RNAcentral's name for it is "SSU rRNA". It matches the Rfam family "Eukaryotic small subunit ribosomal RNA", at positions 569 to 1092 of the family's 1831-position model. The record is from RNAcentral. Lineage: Eukaryota; Fungi; Glomeromycota; Glomeromycetes; Glomerales; Glomeraceae.